Small nuclear RNA from Terrapene triunguis (Three-toed box turtle), 165 nucleotides. Its record names the gene U1. It matches the Rfam family "U1 spliceosomal RNA". From Rfam's summary of the family: U1 is a small nuclear RNA (snRNA) component of the spliceosome (involved in pre-mRNA splicing). Its 5' end forms complementary base pairs with the 5' splice junction, thus defining the 5' donor site of an intron. The record is from Ensembl. NCBI's taxonomy places the organism in Eukaryota, Metazoa, Chordata, Testudines, Emydidae.
GUAAUUAGCUGGCAGGGGAGAUACCAUGAUCAUGAAGGUGGUUUUCCUAGGAUGAGGCUCAUCCAUUGCAAUCCAGAUAUGCUGACUCCUGCAGUUUCCUUAAAUGCAUAGUUUGUGAAGGUUGGUGAAGCAGUGGGGUGGGGGAGUGCAUUCAUGUUUCCCCUG